Molecule: ribosomal RNA, 406 nt
Filed under: uncultured bacterium
Lineage: Bacteria
Description: partial 16S ribosomal RNA
Rfam family: Bacterial small subunit ribosomal RNA
Source: RNAcentral
AUUGAACGCUGGCGGCAGGCUUAACACAUGCAAGUCGAGCGAGUGGCGGACGGGUGAGUAAUGUCUGGGAAACUGCCUGAUGGAGGGGGAUAACUACUGGAAACGGUAGCUAAUACCGCAUACCAUCAGAUGUGCCCAGGUGGGAUUAGCUAGUGGGUGGGGUAAUGGCUCACCUAGGCGACGAUCCCUAGCUGGUCUGAGAGGAUGACCAGCCACACUGGAACUGAGACACGGCCCAGACUCCUACGGGAGGCAGCAGUGGGGAAUAUUGCGCAAUGGGGGCAAGCCUGAUGCAGCCAUGCCGCGUGAGUGAAGAAGGCCUUCGGGUUGUAAAGCACUUUCAGUGGGGAGGCGUUACUCGCAGAAGAAGCACCGGCUAACUCCGUGCCAGCAGCCGCGGUAAUAC